GGAUAUGAGUCAACAGUGUGCCCUUGUUGCCAAGAAGGCUAACGGCAUUUUGGGCUGUGGAUGUUAUAGGCAAGAGCCGGUGUGGGGAACAACCAGUCUGCAGCCAAUAAGGGAUUUCAGGAUGGAGAGGUGUGAAACCCCACAAACCAGCCACAGUUCUGUGAGCCUGUGCCCUCACCCCCACCCCCUGAGUCUCUGAUUGGCAGGAGGGGUUGAACAAGCAGGAGAAACUGGUUAGAGAGAGGAAUGGCAAGAAAUUCUGUCCCGAUGGCCUUUGCAAGCCUCCUGUGAAGAAGAGGUGGCGACUGGGACAGGGGGCUGGAUGCACAGUGCCCCUUGGAGCAGCGAGAGUGCCAACAGCUGCUGCAGGGACCCAGGAGUCUGAAAAUUGGAGCUCUGGGCUGGGGGAAGAAGCCCUGGGAGCAGCCUGGUCUCAUAAGCCUGCAUUGCCGCCACCUCUAGAGUGGAACCUGGCAGCUUUCAGACAAGGUCAACAAUGCACAGCAGUUUAGGACAGGAAGUGAAAAAGAAGGUCAAACAUUCAACAGAAAGUGAAGGGGGAUAUUUAGGAAGGCAGAAUGUAAUGAUGACGUUUGAGAUCUUCAGUGAAUAAAGGGCCCAAGGCUACAGAUGGGAGGAAGCAAUCUGUGUAACACCCUGCCCUGUAGCAUCACGCCGGGGCACUGGUUCAGUGCUCAUGCAGCGGGAAGAGUGAAACGCCAGCUGUGCAAACUUGUGGUCAUUGAGAGAGAAAUCCACAGCAGCCUACAAGCCAGGUUCCCCUUGGCCCACACUCUUAGUUCACAUACCUCACUCUUUUCAGGGUGCAUUGCUGUUUUCUCUUUAACUCAUCCAUGCAUAAAAAACACUGAA
Mauremys reevesii (Reeves's turtle) is the source of this 873-nucleotide long non-coding RNA. RefSeq lists it as uncharacterized. The record is from RefSeq and is a predicted model, not a curated record. NCBI's taxonomy places the organism in Eukaryota, Metazoa, Chordata, Testudines, Geoemydidae. The transcript is spliced from 3 exons.